This 157-nucleotide microRNA precursor is filed under the name Corchorus capsularis. RNAcentral's name for it is "pre miRNA MIR168". It matches the Rfam family "MIR168 microRNA precursor family". The record is from Rfam by way of RNAcentral. Lineage: Eukaryota; Viridiplantae; Streptophyta; Magnoliopsida; Malvales; Malvaceae.
UUACCGGCGGUCUCUAAUUCGCUUGGUGCAGGUCGGGAACUGAUUGCCUGCCUCUCCUUCUUUUUUAAUCCAAUUGGAUCCAAUUUAAGCCAGCUGAUUGGAGGAUGCGAGAAUUGGAUCCCGCCUUGCAUCAACUGAAUCGGAGACCGCGGUGAGG